AUGUGGAGGACGAUUAUCAUUAGAGACAGGACUCCAAGCUACACAUCCUGCUCAGUGUUCAGCUGGACCUGAAGAUGUGGAGUGUGAUUUCUGUAUUGAGAGUAAAUCCAAAGCCAUCAAGUCCUGCCUGGUGUGUCUGGCCUCUUUCUGUGAAACUCAUCUCCAGCUUCACUAUAAAUCUCCUGCCUUUAAGAAGCACAAGCUGGUCGAAGCCUCCAGACGACUUCAGGAUCAGAUCUGCUCUCAGCAUGACAAACUGCUGGAGGUUUACUGUCGCACUGACAGGCAGUGUAUCUGCAUGUAGUGUACUAUGGAUGAAAAUAAAGGACAUGAUACAGUAUCAGCUACAACAGGAAAAGCUGAGAAACAGAAGCAGUUGUUGGAGAAACAGGAAAUAUCCAAGCAGAGAAUCCAGGAUAGAGAGAAGGAGCUUCAGAAGCUGAGGAAGGCUGUUGAGACUCACAAGAUGUGUUUAGAGCAGAAAAAGCUGUUUCAGGUUCAGUUGCACCGCAUUUGACUAGUAGUUUAUAGAUUUAUGAAGUUAAUAUGUUUGUAUGCUGAUUAUACAAACAUAUUAAUGCUGAUGCUGUUAAUGUAGUGUAUCUCAUUGAACUGGGAGGAAGUGAUAGUUGAGUAGAUUACCCCAAGGUCACAAUUAGGAAUUUUAAGUUGAGGGGACAUUUUCUUUGGCUUUACUGGUUACAAAAGGCAUUUCAGGAAACUGAAUGGAUCUUUAACUAUAUUAUCAAAGCCAUUGAGAGAAGACGCUCUGAGGUGACAGCACUGUUCAGCGCUCAGGAGGAAGCUGCAGUGAGUCAAGCUGGGAAAGUCAUGAAGCAACUGGAGCAGGAGAUUGAAGAGAAGAGACACUGAGAUAGAGGAACUUUCACACAGAGAAGAUCCCAUCCAGUACCUUCAGUCUGUCUCGACCCUCACUGGACCUUCAGACCCACCCGUCAUCACGAUCAAUUCUCUCCUAACCACUGAGGGUGUAGUAAAGUCUGUAAAACACCUAAAAAAGAAAGUAGAAGAAAGCUGUAAUGCUGAAUUUAAGAAGAUAUCAAGUAGAGGUCCUUGCAAAUGGGAGAAACCUGAAGAUCUCUGUAUACUGACACUCUACAGCGCUCCUCAGCCUACAGACUCUCUCUCUCUCUCUCUCUCUCUCUCUCUCUCUCUCUCUCUAUCUAUCUAUCUAUCUAUCUAUCUAUCUAACUAACUAUGUUAGGAAAUGUGGAUCUGAAAACCAUCUCCACACUUUUAUAAUUUGAUCCCCCAGGUUUAUUAAGGUCUUCUUGUAAUAACUUUCCAUAAGUAUUUAAAGCAGUUGGUUCACCAAGGUGUAAUAAUGUAUUUUGCCAAAAUAAAAAAAAAAGGUUUCUUAUAGCUUUAUUUUUUAUUUUUAGUUGUAUUCAUUUAGGUGACAAAAUAUUUUGUUUUUGCUGUAAUGCGGUUGAUCAGUAUUGUAUCUGUAAUCUGUAUCUGUAAUCAGUAUUGUUGUACAAUUUCUUUGUAUUGAUUCACAUGUUCUACUAAAAAUAUACAAUAAAAUGUCAGCUGUGAUUUCCAA
Molecule: long non-coding RNA, 1567 nt
Organism: Tachysurus vachellii
Lineage: Eukaryota; Metazoa; Chordata; Actinopteri; Siluriformes; Bagridae
Exons: 4
Source: RefSeq, a predicted model, not a curated record